AGCAGUUUGUGAGAAUGCUGCCUAAUAGGCUUCUGACAGAGCCAGCUGGAUUUCAUGCUUAGACAAAUACUAAUUCUCACCUAACAUGGACAACAUGGGGAAUUUUCAGAGAGACACCUUGCAGUCAGUGAUACUCACAGAGUGGCACUCUUUGAAACUGACACAUACUUCAUCUGCUUGUGAAAUGUUGCAACCAAGGAUACCUCCUGUAAAAUUUUAUUUGUAGCCCCACUGGAUCCUUUAAUAAAGGAUGCUUCUGAAUCUUAUUGCUUGUUUCAUUUUCUUCAGAUCAGAAACUAAAGCACUUCCAAUGGAAACAAAAUCCCGCUGGUCUGUGCAAAUCCUACCUGGCUGUC
RNAcentral lists this long non-coding RNA (356 nucleotides) under Taeniopygia guttata (zebra finch). RNAcentral describes it as "lncRNA (ENSTGUG00000025406.1)". The record is from RNAcentral. Lineage: Eukaryota; Metazoa; Chordata; Aves; Passeriformes; Estrildidae.